AUUUAGAUAGUUUAUAUAAAAUAUUGAAUUGUGAUUUCAAAGAUAAAUUUAUUUUUCUAAAUU
This 63-nucleotide transfer RNA is filed under the name Auplopus sp. SJW-2017. RNAcentral's name for it is "tRNA-His". Lineage: Eukaryota; Metazoa; Arthropoda; Insecta; Hymenoptera; Pompilidae. The record is from RNAcentral.